RNAcentral lists this ribosomal RNA (250 nucleotides) under uncultured prokaryote. RNAcentral describes it as "partial 16S ribosomal RNA". It matches the Rfam family "Bacterial small subunit ribosomal RNA", at positions 524 to 773 of the family's 1533-position model. The record is from RNAcentral.
UACGUAGGGGGGGAGCGUUGUCCGGAAUGAUUGGGCGUAAAGGGCGCGUAGGCGGCCGGAUAAGUCUGGAGUGAAAGUCCUGUUUUUAAGAUGGGAAUUGCUUUGAAUACUGUUUGGCUUGAGUGCAGGAGAGGUAAGUGGAAUUCCCAGUGUAGCGGUGAAAUGCGUAGAGAUUGGGAGGAACACCAGUGGCGAAGGCGACUUACUGGACUGUAACUGACGCUGAGGCGCGAAAGUGUGGGGAGCAAAC